Molecule: ribosomal RNA, 524 nt
Filed under: uncultured Acidobacteriota bacterium
Lineage: Bacteria; Pseudomonadati; Acidobacteriota
Description: bacterial SSU rRNA
Rfam family: Bacterial small subunit ribosomal RNA
Source: RNAcentral
UGGGGAAUCUUGCACAAUGGGGGCAACCCUGAUGCAGCGACGCCGCGUGAGCGAUGAAGCCCUUCGGGGUGUAAAGCUCUUUCGGCUGGAACGAUGAUGACGGUACCAGCAGAAGAAGCUGCGGCUAACUACGUGCCAGCAGCCGCGGUAAUACGUAGGCAGCGAGCGUUGUUCGGAGUUACUGGGCGUAAAGAGUGCGUAGGCGGUUGGCUAAGUUUGGUGUGAAAUCUCCCGGCUCAACUGGGAGGGUGCGCCGAAAACUGGCUGGCUAGAGUGUGGGAGAGGCUAGCGGAAUUCCUGGUGUAGCGGUGAAAUGCGUAGAUAUCAGGAGGAACACCUGCGGUGUAGACGGCUGGCUGGACCACGACUGACGCUGAGGCACGAAAGCGUGGGGAGCAAACAGGAUUAGAUACCCUGGUAGUCCACGCCCUAAACGAUGCAUACUUGGUGUGGGCAGUUCAUUCUGUCCGUGCCGGAGCUAACGCGUUAAGUAUGCCGCCUGGGGAGUACGGUCGCAAGGCUGA